CCUACGGGAGGCAGCAGUGGGGAAUUUUGGACAAUGGGCGCAAGCCUGAUCCAGCCAUGCCGCGUGUGGGAAGAAGGCCUUCGGGUUGUAAACCACUUUUGUCAGGGAAGAAACGGUCUGGUCUAAUAAACCGGACUAAUGACGGUACCUGAAGAAUAAGCACCGGCUAACUACGUGCCAGCAGCCGCGGUAAUACGUAGGGUGCAAGCGUUAAUCGGAAUUACUGGGCGUAAAGCGUGCGCAGGCGGCUUUGCAAGACAGAUGUGAAAUCCCCGGGCUCAACCUGGGAACUGCAUUUGUGACUGCAAGGCUAGAGUACGGCAGAGGGGGGAUGGAAUUCCGCGUGUAGCAGUGAAAUGCGUAGAUAUGCGGAGGAACACCGAUGGCGAAGGCAAUCCCCUGGGCCUGUACUGACGCUCAUGCACGAAAGCGUGGGGAGCAAACAGGAUUAGAUACCCUGGUAGUCCACGCCCUAAACGAUGUCAACUGGUUGUUGGGAGGGUUUCUUCUCAGUAACGAAGCUAACGCGUGAAGUUGACCGCCUGGGGGAGGACGGCCGCGAGUAGUUAACGUUACGAAAGAAGUUAGUACGGCGUUGNGACGNGCCGACGGACGACGACGAGGGAGGAGG
RNAcentral lists this ribosomal RNA (631 nucleotides) under uncultured bacterium. Its description in RNAcentral is "bacterial SSU rRNA". The stretch from base 1 to 543 matches the Rfam family "Bacterial small subunit ribosomal RNA", at positions 338 to 873 of the family's 1533-position model. The record is from RNAcentral.